AACGAACGCUGGCGGCAGGCUUAACACAUGCAAGUCGAACGAGAAGCUUACCUUCGGGUAAGUGGACAGUGGCAGACGGGUGAGUAACGCGUGGGAAACUACCUAUCGAUUCGGAACAACAUUAAGAAAUUGAUGCUAAUACCGUAUACGCCCUAAGGGGGAAAGAUUUAUCGUCGAUAGAUGUGCCCGCGUUUGAUUAGCUAGUUGGUGAGGUAAUGGCUCACCAAGGCGACGAUCAAUAGCUGGUCUGAGAGGAUGAUCAGCCACACUGGGACUGAGACACGGCCCAGACUCCUACGGGAGGCAGCAGUGGGGAAUAUUGGACAAUGGGCGCAAGCCUGAUCCAGCCAUGCCGCGUGAGUGAUGAAGGCCCUAGGGUUGUAAAGCUCUUUCAACGGUGAAGAUAAUGACGGUAACCGUAGAAGAAGCCCCGGCUAACUUCGUG
Molecule: ribosomal RNA, 445 nt
Filed under: uncultured bacterium
Lineage: Bacteria
Description: bacterial SSU rRNA
Rfam family: Bacterial small subunit ribosomal RNA
Source: RNAcentral